RNAcentral lists this ribosomal RNA (257 nucleotides) under Bacillus pumilus. Its description in RNAcentral is "partial 23S ribosomal RNA". It matches the Rfam family "Bacterial large subunit ribosomal RNA", at positions 167 to 418 of the family's 2925-position model. Lineage: Bacteria; Bacillati; Bacillota; Bacilli; Caryophanales; Bacillaceae. The record is from RNAcentral.
GAGUAUGAGAAGGCAUACCCGGGGAACUGAAACAUCUAAGUACCCGGAGGAAGAGAAAGCAAAUGCGAUUCCCUGAGUAGCGGCGAGCGAAACGGGAACAGCCCAAACCAAGAGGCUUGCCUCUUGGGGUUGUAGGACACUCUAUACGGAGUUACAAAGGAACGAUAUAAGCGAAGAGGUCUGGAAAGGCCCGCCAAAGAAGGUAACAGCCCUGUAACUGAAAUGUUGUUCUCUCCAGAGUGGAUCCUGAGUACGGC